Molecule: ribosomal RNA, 254 nt
Filed under: uncultured bacterium
Lineage: Bacteria
Description: partial 16S ribosomal RNA
Rfam family: Bacterial small subunit ribosomal RNA
Source: RNAcentral
UACGUAGGGUGCGAGCGUUGUCCGGAAUUAUUGGGCGUAAAGAGCUCGUAGGCGGUCUGUCGCGUCGAUCGUGAAAACUUGGGGCUUAACCCUGAGCUUGCGGUCGAUACGGGCAUGACUGGAGUUCGGCAGGGGAGACUGGAAUUCCUGGUGUAGCGGUGAAAUGCGCAGAUAUCAGGAGGAACACCGGUGGCGAAGGCGGGUCUCUGGGCCGAUACUGACGCUGAGACGCGAAAGCGUGGGGAGCAAACAGG